UUUUGAAGAGAGGAGAAAGACUUUUUGAAUUCUGUGUCUGUUUGUGUCUUCUAGGAAGCAGAUGCCAAGGGCAUUGGAGGGAAGAAUGCUUGUGAAAGAUGAAGGGGGAAAGAAGCGCGCUUCUGUGGAAAACAUUUUCAAGUUCAUUAGAUCAAACUCGAUGAGAAUGGCUGACACCUGAGAAUCAAACCAACACACUCCUCAGCAUUGAGUCCGAAAGUCACAAAAGGUAUUGUUUAAACCUCCUUAAGAUGACCUUGAAGUAUGAGUUUUGUAGCAAAUUGAGAAUAAGGACCAGAGCCAUUCCGUAGAAUAGAUAGAUUAUUUUGGGGGAAAAUAAGAUCUUUGGAAUUUUAUAUUUUCAAGGACAAAAGUUAAGAAGGAAUAGCAAGAAAGAAUGAUGAACAUAUGAUGAACAUUCCUAAACAUAUAGUAUCUGGGUUAAAUUCAUGGUAAGAGAUCCCUACUUAAAUGUAUGUGUUAUAACACCUUGGUGAGCUUAUAGACUAACCUGAGUUUUAAAAUAAGCAUGAGUCUUACUAUAGUAAAAUUUCAGAUAUCUGGUCAUCUCAGGGAAUAAGAAAUGUGUGUGCAUCCAAAUCUCAA
Molecule: long non-coding RNA, 606 nt
Filed under: Papio anubis (olive baboon)
Lineage: Eukaryota; Metazoa; Chordata; Mammalia; Primates; Cercopithecidae
Description: lncRNA (ENSPANG00000048281.1)
Source: RNAcentral